AACGGUCUAUACCUGCGGUACCUGCGGAAGGAUCAUUACUGAGUGUUGAUCUGUUUUACGGAUCGCCUCCCACCCUUUGUUUAUCAAAACCUGUUGCUUCGGCGUUUCGAUUCUAAUCUUUUUGUCAAAAGAUUUGAACCGUUGGCUUUAAAGCGAAUGUGUUAUUCGCCGGACUUUUUUAUACUCUUGUUUUUAAAGUUGUCUGAGUUUUGAAAUAUCAAAAAAAUUAAAACUUUCAGC
This 240-nucleotide unclassified non-coding RNA is filed under the name soil metagenome. Its description in RNAcentral is "partial contains 5.8S ribosomal RNA, internal transcribed spacer 2, and large subunit ribosomal RNA". The record is from RNAcentral.